Molecule: ribosomal RNA, 1346 nt
Filed under: uncultured bacterium
Lineage: Bacteria
Description: partial 16S ribosomal RNA
Rfam family: Bacterial small subunit ribosomal RNA
Source: RNAcentral
GACGAACGCUGGCGGCGUGCUUAACACAUGCAAGUCGAACGGAAAGGCCCUGCUUUUGUGGGGUGCUCGAGUGGCGAACGGGUGAGUAACACGUGAGUAACCUGCCCUUGACUUUGGGAUAACUUCAGGAAACUGGGGCUAAUACCGGAUAGGAGCUCCUGCUGCAUGGUGGGGGUUGGAAAGUUUCGGCGGUUGGGGAUGGACUCGCGGCUUAUCAGCUUGUUGGUGGGGUAGUGGCUUACCAAGGCUUUGACGGGUAGCCGGCCUGAGAGGGUGACCGGCCACAUUGGGACUGAGAUACGGCCCAGACUCCUACGGGAGGCAGCAGUGGGGAAUAUUGCACAAUGGGCGGAAGCCUGAUGCAGCAACGCCGCGUGCGGGAUGACGGCCUUCGGGUUGUAAACCGCUUUCGCCUGUGACGAAGCGUGAGUGACGGUAAUGGGUAAAGAAGCACCGGCUAACUACGUGCCAGCAGCCGCGGUGAUACGUAGGGUGCGAGCGUUGUCCGGAUUUAUUGGGCGUAAAGGGCUCGUAGGUGGUUGAUCGCGUCGGAAGUGUAAUCUUGGGGCUUAACCCUGAGCGUGCUUUCGAUACGGGUUGACUUGAGGAAGGUAGGGGAGAAUGGAAUUCCUGGUGGAGCGGUGGAAUGCGCAGAUAUCAGGAGGAACACCAGUGGCGAAGGCGGUUCUCUGGGCCUUUCCUGACGCUGAGGAGCGAAAGCGUGGGGAGCGAACAGGCUUAGAUACCCUGGUAGUCCACGCUGUAAACGGUGGGUACUAGGUGUGGGGUCCAUUCCACGGGUUCCGUGCCGUAGCUAACGCUUUAAGUACCCCGCCUGGGGAGUACGGCCGCAAGGCUAAAACUCAAAGGAAUUGGCGGGGCCCCGCACAAGCGGCGGAGCAUGCGGAUUAAUUCGAUGCAACGCGUAGAACCUUACCUGGGUUUGACAUGGAUCGGGAGUGCUCAGAGAUGGGUGUGCCUCUUUUGGGGUCGGUUCACAGGUGGUGCAUGGCUGUCGUCAGCUCGUGUCGUGAGAUGUUGGGUUAAGUCCCGCAACGAGCGCAACCCUUGUUCACUGUUGCCAGCACGUUAUGGUGGGGACUCAGUGGAGACCGCCGGGGUCAACUCGGAGGAAGGUGGGGAUGACGUCAAGUCAUCAUGCCCCUUAUGUCCAGGGCUUCACGCAUGCUACAAUGGCUGGUACAGAGAGUGGCGAGCCUGUGAGGGUGAGCGAAUCUCGGAAAGCCGGUCUCAGUUCGGAUUGGGGUCUGCAACUCGACCUCAUGAAGUCGGAGUCGCUGGUAAUCGCAGAUCAGCAACGCUGCGGUGAAUACGUUCCCGGGGCU